AUUGAACGCUGGCGGCAGGCCUAACACAUGCAAGUCGAGCGGAUGAAGGGAGCUUGCUCCUGGAUUCAGCGGCGGACGGGUGAGUAAUGCCUAGGAAUCUGCCUGGUCGUGGGGGAUAACGUCCGGAAACGGGCGCUAAUACCGCAUACGUCCUGAGGGCGCAAGUGGGGGAUCUUCGGACCUCCCGCUAUCAGAUGAGCCUAGGUCGGAUUAGCUAGUUGGUGGGGUAAAGGCCUACCAAGCCGACGAUCCGUAACUGGUCUGAGAGGAUGAUCAGUCACACUGGAACUGAGACACGGUCCAGAGUCCUACGGGAGGCAGCAGGGGGGAAGAUUGGACAAUGGGCGAAAGCCUGAUCCAGCCAUGCCGCGUGUGUGAAGAAGGUCUUCGGAUUGUAAAGCACUUUAAGUUGGGAGGAAGGGAAGUAAGUUAAUACCUUGCUGUUUUGACGGUACCAAAAGAAUAAGCACCGGCUAACUUCGUG
This 484-nucleotide ribosomal RNA is filed under the name uncultured bacterium. RNAcentral describes it as "partial 16S ribosomal RNA". It matches the Rfam family "Bacterial small subunit ribosomal RNA", at positions 30 to 507 of the family's 1533-position model. The record is from RNAcentral.